UGGGGAAUAUUGGACAAUGGGCGCAAGCCUGAUCCAGCCAUGCCGCGUGAGUGAUGAAGGCCCUAGGGUUGUAAAGCUCUUUCACCGGUGAAGAUAAUGACGGUAACCGGAGAAGAAGCCCCGGCUAACUUCGUGCCAGCAGCCGCGGUAAUACGAAGGGGGCUAGCGUUGUUCGGAUUUACUGGGCGUAAAGCGCACGUAGGCGGACUUUUAAGUCAGGGGUGAAAUCCCGGGGCUCAACCCCGGAACUGCCUUUGAUACUGGAAGUCUUGAGUAUGGUAGAGGUGAGUGGAAUUCCGAGUGUAGAGGUGAAAUUCGUAGAUAUUCGGAGGAACACCAGUGGCGAAGGCGGCUCACUGGAACAUUACUGACGCUGAGGUGCGAAAGCGUGGGGAGCAAACAGG
This 404-nucleotide ribosomal RNA is filed under the name Actinomycetes bacterium. RNAcentral describes it as "Actinobacteria bacterium partial 16S ribosomal RNA". It matches the Rfam family "Bacterial small subunit ribosomal RNA", at positions 355 to 776 of the family's 1533-position model. Lineage: Bacteria; Bacillati; Actinomycetota; Actinomycetes. RNAcentral also lists the same sequence under 1 other name. The record is from RNAcentral.